GGUUAAGCGACUAAGCGUACACGGUGGAUGCCCUGGCAGUCAGAGGCGAUGAAGGACGUGCUAAUCUGCGAAAAGCGCCGGCGAGGUGAUAUGAACCUUUGACCCGGCGAUGUCCGAAUGGGGAAACCCAGUGCAAUCCGUUGCACUAUCGUUAACUGAAUACAUAGGUUAACGAGGCGAACCGGGGGAACUGAAACAUCUAAGUACCCCGAGGAAAAGAAAUCAACCGAGAUUCCCCCAGUAGCGGCGAGCGAACGGGGAGCAGCCCGGAGUCUGAAUCAGCUUGUGUGUUAGUGGAACGGUCUGGAAAGUCCGACGGUACAGGGUGAUAGUCCCGUACACGAAAGCACACAUGCUGUGAACUCGAAGAGUAGGGCGGGACACGUGGUAUCCUGUCUGAAUAUGGGGGGACCAUCCUCCAAGGCUAAAUACUCCUGACUGACCGAUAGUGAACCAGUACCGUGAGGGAAAGGCGAAAAGAACCCCGGCGAGGGGAGUGAAAAAGAACCUGAAACCGUGUACGUACAAGCAGUGGGAGCCUCUUUAUGGGGUGACUGCGUACCUUUUGUAUAAUGGGUCAGCGACUUAUAUUCUGUAGCAAGGUUAACCGUAUAGGGGAGCCGAAGGGAAACCGAGUCUUAACUGGGCGUUAAGUUGCAGGGUAUAGACCCGAAACCCGGUGAUCUAGCCAUGGGCAGGUUGAAGGUUGGGUAACACUAACUGGAGGACCGAACCGACUAAUGUUGAAAAAUUAGCGGAUGACCUGUGGCUGGGGGUGAAAGGCCAAUCAAACCGGGAGAUAGCUGGUUCUCCCCGAAAGCUAUUUAGGUAGCGCCUCGUGAACUCAUCUUCGGGGGUAGAGCACUGUUUCGGCUAGGGGGCCAUCCCGGCUUACCAACCCGAUGCAAACUACGAAUACCGAAGAAUGUUAUCACGGGAGACACACGGCGGGUGCUAACGUCCGUCGUGAAGAGGGAAACAACCCAGACCGCCAGCUAAGGUCCCAAAGUCAUGGUUAAGUGGGAAACGAUGUGGGAAGGCACAGACAGCCAGGAUGUUGGCUUAGAAGCAGCCAUCAUUUAAAGAAAGCGUAAUAGCUCACUGGUCGAGUCGGCCUGCGCGGAAGAUGUAACGGGGCUAAACCAUGCACCGAAGCUGCGGCAGCGACACUUAUGUGUUGUUGGGUAGGGGAGCGUUCUGUAAGCCGUUGAAGGUGUGCUGUGAGGCAUGCUGGAGGUAUCAGAAGUGCGAAUGCUGACAUAAGUAACGAUAAAGCGGGUGAAAAGCCCGCUCGCCGGAAGACCAAGGGUUCCUGUCCAACGUUAAUCGGGGCAGGGUGAGUCGACCCCUAAGGCGAGGCCGAAAGGCGUAGUCGAUGGGAAACAGGUUAAUAUUCCUGUACUUGGUGUUACUGCGAAGGGGGGACGGAGAAGGCUAUGUCAGCCGGGCGACGGUUGUCCCGGUUUAAGCAUGUAGGCGGAGGUUCCAGGUAAAUCCGGUACCUUGUUAACGCUGAGGUGUGAUGACGAGGCACUACGGUGCUGAAGUGAUAAAUGCCCUGCUUCCAGGAAAAGCCUCUAAGCAUCAGGUAACACGAAAUCGUACCCCAAACCGACACAGGUGGUCAGGUAGAGAAUACCAAGGCGCUUGAGAGAACUCGGGUGAAGGAACUAGGCAAAAUGGUGCCGUAACUUCGGGAGAAGGCACGCUGAUGUGUAGGUGAAGCCCCUGCGGGCGGAGCUGAAAUCAGUCGAAGAUACCAGCUGGCUGCAACUGUUUAUUAAAAACACAGCACUGUGCAAACACGAAAGUGGACGUAUACGGUGUGACGCCUGCCCGGUGCCGGAAGGUUAAUUGAUGGGGUUAGCGGCAACGCGAAGCUCUUGAUCGAAGCCCCGGUAAACGGCGGCCGUAACUAUAACGGUCCUAAGGUAGCGAAAUUCCUUGUCGGGUAAGUUCCGACCUGCACGAAUGGCGUAAUGAUGGCCAGGCUGUCUCCACCCGAGACUCAGUGAAAUUGAACUCGCUGUGAAGAUGCAGUGUACCCGCGGCAAGACGGAAAGACCCCGUGAACCUUUACUAUAGCUUGACACUGAACACUGGUCCUUGAUGUGUAGGAUAGGUGGGAGGCUUUGAAGCGUGGACGCCAGUCUGCGUGGAGCCGUCCUUGAAAUACCACCCUUUAAUGGCUGGUGUUCUAACGUAGACCCGUAAUCCGGGUUGCGGACAGUGUCUGGUGGGUAGUUUGACUGGGGCGGUCUCCUCCCAAAGAGUAACGGAGGAGCACGAAGGUUGGCUAAUCCUGGUCGGACAUCAGGAGGUUAGUGCAAUGGCAUAAGCCAGCUUGACUGCGAGCGUGACGGCGCGAGCAGGUGCGAAAGCAGGUCAUAGUGAUCCGGUGGUUCUGAAUGGAAGGGCCAUCGCUCAACGGAUAAAAGGUACUCCGGGGAUAACAGGCUGAUACCGCCCAAGAGUUCAUAUCGACGGCGGUGUUUGGCACCUCGAUGUCGGCUCAUCACAUCCUGGGGCUGAAGUAGGUCCCAAGGGUAUGGCUGUUCGCCAUUUAAAGUGGUACGCGAGCUGGGUUUAGAACGUCGUGAGACAGUUCGGUCCCUAUCUGCCGUGGGCGCUGGAGAAUUGAGGGGGGCUGCUCCUAGUACGAGAGGACCGGAGUGGACGCAUCACUGGUGUUCGGGUUGUCAUGCCAAUGGCACUGCCCGGUAGCUAAAUGCGGAAGAGAUAAGUGCUGAAAGCAUCUAAGCACGAAACUUGCCCCGAGAUGAGUUCUCCCUGAGACUUUAAGUCUCCUGAAGGAACGUUGAAGACGACGACGUUGAUAGGUCGGGUGUGUAAGCGCAGCGAUGCGUUGAGCUAACCGAUACUAAUGAACCGUGAGGCUUAACCUU
Molecule: ribosomal RNA, 2906 nt
Filed under: Enterobacter hormaechei subsp. steigerwaltii
Lineage: Bacteria; Pseudomonadati; Pseudomonadota; Gammaproteobacteria; Enterobacterales; Enterobacteriaceae
Description: 23S ribosomal RNA
Rfam family: Bacterial large subunit ribosomal RNA
Source: RNAcentral